This is a long non-coding RNA of Rhincodon typus (whale shark), 1084 nucleotides long. RefSeq lists it as uncharacterized. Lineage: Eukaryota; Metazoa; Chordata; Chondrichthyes; Orectolobiformes; Rhincodontidae. The record is from RefSeq and is a predicted model, not a curated record. The transcript is spliced from 4 exons.
UGGCACACCUGCUGAGUUUCUUCAGCCUCUGUAUGUUUGUUGUAACACUAAAACAAUAUCAUUUUAACACGGGACCAAGAGGGAAAACUCGAUGUCAACAGUUCCGUGAGAAUUGGGUUGAGAGAACUGGAGGUGCGAACUGGAGGUGGACAAGCUGAGCUCCGAGAGGGCUUGAGUGGAGAUAAACAAGAGAAAUAUGUUCUCCAUGUGAAAGAUGAGAGCUGCAAACACUUAGAGAACCACCCGGUCCUGGGUACGGGAAUCUCCUGGUCUGAACUGGACACGGAGCACAGGAAUCACGCAGUCUGAACUGGACAAGGAGCACAGGAGUACCCCGGUCUGUACAGGGCAUCCAGUACACAGGAAAUAGAACUAGAGGGAGCCCUUGGAAAAGGAGUCUGUUUCAUAAGUCCCUAUAGGAAGUGAACCAGCUCUGGAAGAGGAAGAGGAGAGAAUGGGCAGAGUCGGUGAGCUCUCUGAUUGACGUCUCUCACAGUCAGACCAAAUAUUUCUGAAGCAUCAUGAAUUUCCUGAAACUUCGGAAACUGUUCGGUGAAAUGGAGGUGACAUUGAGCAGCAGAUCAGACUUCCUUGGCAAAUUUGGGAAGCACCUUCAACCUACAAAACAUCUUUAGCAAUGUGAAGAGCCGUUUCACCACUUUUGAUGUAACCAACAACAAGAAAGCAAAAUUAAACAGAUUUUCCACUUAAUUUAAAGCUCUAGGAUACUAGUCCCCAAGUCUGUUUAAAUCUGCUGGGACCUUACGUAGCCCAAAUUUGUUCAAAUCGGUCCAAAUCUGUCCUAAUCCUGGACCUGAUCUGUCCCAACCUGUUCCAAUUCUAGACCUGAGCUGGCCAGAUCCUGGACCCGAGCCCCCAAUCAGUUACAAAGUGGUUGUCGACCCCCUCUCUGAUUUAUAGAACUGAAACACACAGAGGCAUGCCUCACCCUAUAAUCUGUUAAACGAGCCCCAAUCUGUUAGAAAGGAGUGGUUAAAUAAAAUAAACCUCUGACACUCACUGUAUAAUCAAGUAACAACUUGUUUAUCUAACUCUAACAAUAAACAAGUUAACUGAACUAUUA